UGAAUGACUCAUUCGCUUG
This 19-nucleotide small nuclear RNA is filed under the name Arabidopsis thaliana (thale cress). RNAcentral describes it as "snRNA_07358". Lineage: Eukaryota; Viridiplantae; Streptophyta; Magnoliopsida; Brassicales; Brassicaceae. The record is from RNAcentral.